Molecule: ribosomal RNA, 253 nt
Filed under: uncultured bacterium
Lineage: Bacteria
Description: partial 16S ribosomal RNA
Rfam family: Bacterial small subunit ribosomal RNA
Source: RNAcentral
UACGUAGGGGGCGAGCGUUGUCCGGAAUUACUGGGCGUAAAGAGCUCGUAGGCGGUUUGUCGCGUCGUCUGUGAAAACCAGCAGCUCAACUGCUGGCUUGCAGGCGAUACGGGCAGACUUGAGUACUGCAGGGGAGACUGGAAUUCCUGGUGUAGCGGUGAAAUGCGCAGAUAUCAGGAGGAACACCGGUGGCGAAGGCGGGUCUCUGGGCAGUAACUGACGCUGAGGAGCGAAAGCGUGGGUAGCGAACAGG